This 484-nucleotide ribosomal RNA is filed under the name uncultured bacterium. RNAcentral describes it as "partial 16S ribosomal RNA". It matches the Rfam family "Bacterial small subunit ribosomal RNA", at positions 30 to 507 of the family's 1533-position model. The record is from RNAcentral.
AUUGAACGCUGGCGGCAGGCCUAACACAUGCCAGUCGAGCGGAAGAAGGGAGCUUGCUUCUGGAUUCAGCGGCGGACGGGGGUGUAUUGCCUAGGAAUCUGCUUGGUAGUGGGGGAUAAUGUCUGGAAACGGGCGCUACUACCGCCUACGUCCUGCGGGAGCAAGUGGGGGAUGUUUGGACAUCACGCUAUCAGAUGAGCGUAGGUCGGAUUAGCUAGUUGGUGGGGUAAAGGCCUGCUAAGGCGACGAUCCGUAACUGGCCUGAGAGGAUGAUCAGUCACACUGGAACGGGAACACGCUCCAGACUCCUACGGGAGGCAGCAGUGGGGAAUAUUGGACAGUAGGCGAAAGCCUGAUCCAGCCAUGCGGCGUGUGUGAAGAAGGUCUUCGGAUUGUAAAGCACUUUAAGUUGGGAGGAAGGGCAGUAAGUUAAUACCUUGCUGUUUUGACGUUACCAACAAAAUAAGCACCGGCUAACUUCGUG